Molecule: small nucleolar RNA, 119 nt
Organism: Schistocerca gregaria
Lineage: Eukaryota; Metazoa; Arthropoda; Insecta; Orthoptera; Acrididae
Product: U8 small nucleolar RNA
Exons: 1
Source: RefSeq, a predicted model, not a curated record
UCUUCAGUGGGGUCAAUCCUGACCAACUGUAGUAUAUGAUGAAAGUGCAAGAUGAAUCCUGUGAUUCAUUGCACGCGGUUGAAGGGACAUCGCAACGCUCUUCAACCGACUUAUCUGAU